GACGAACGCUGGCGGCGUGCUUAACACAUGCAAGUCGAACGAGGAGCGAUGGAAGCUUGCUUCUAUCACUCUUAGUGGCGAACGGGUGAGUAACGCGUAAUCAACCUGCCCUUCAGAGGGGGACAACAGUUGGAAACGACUGCUAAUACCGCAUACGAUCUAAUCUCGGCAUCGAGGAUAGAUGAAAGGUGGCCUCUACAUGUAAGCUAUCACUGAAGGAGGGGAUUGCGUCUGAUUAGCUAGUUGGAGGGGUAACGGCCCACCAAGGCGAUGAUCAGUAGCCGGUCUGAGAGGAUGAACGGCCACAUUGGGACUGAGACACGGCCCAGACUCCUACGGGAGGCAGCAGUGGGGAAUCUUCCGCAAUGGACGAAAGUCUGACGGAGCAACGCCGCGUGAGUGAUGACGGCCUUCGGGUUGUAAAGCUCUGUUAAUCGGGACGAAAGGCCUUCUUGCGAAUAGUGAGAAGGAUUGACGGUACCGGAAUAGAAAGCCACGGCUAACUACGUG
Molecule: ribosomal RNA, 510 nt
Filed under: uncultured bacterium
Lineage: Bacteria
Description: partial 16S ribosomal RNA
Rfam family: Bacterial small subunit ribosomal RNA
Source: RNAcentral